AUGAACGCUAGCGGCAGGCCUAACACAUGCAAGUCGAGGGAGAGGUUACCUUCGGGUAACCAAAACCGGCGCACGGGUGCGUAACGCGUAUACAAUCUGCCUUUCACAUAGCGGAUAGCCCGAAGAAAUUUGGAUUAAUACCUAAUGGUAUAUAAGAGCGGCAUCGUUUUCUAUAUUAAAAGUCUACGGUGGUGAAAGAUGAGUAUGCGUUCUAUUAGCUAGUUGGAGAGGUAACGGCUCCCCAAGGGCGACGAUAGAUAGGGGUUCUGAGAGGGAUGUCCCCCACACUGGUACUGAGAUACGGACCAGACUCCUACGGGAGGCAGCAGUGAGGAAUAUUGGACAAUGGUCGGAAGACUGAUCCAGCCAUGCCGCGUGCAGGAUGAAGGGCCUAUGGAUUGUAAACUGCUUUUGUAAGGGAAGAAUAAGGAGUACGUGUACUUUGAUGACGGUACCUUACGAAUAAGCAUCGGCUAACUCCGUGCCAGCAGCCGCGCGUAAUACGGAGGAUGCGAGCGUUAUCCGGAAUCAUUGGGUUUAAAGGGUCCGUAGGCGGGCUGAUAAGUCAGAGGUGAAAGCGCUUAGCUCAACUAAGCAACUGCCUUUGAAACUGUCAGUGCUUGAAUGAUUGUGAAGUAGUUGGAAUGUGUAGUGUAGCGGGUGAAAUGCGUUAGAUAUUACACAGAACACCGAUAGCGAAGGCAUAUUACUAACAAUUUAUUGACGCUGAUGGACGAAAGCGUGGGGAGCGAACAGGAUUAGAUACCCUGGUAGUCCACGCUGUAAACGAUGGAUACUAGCUGUUUGGAGUCAUCUGAGUGUUAAGCGAAACGUGAUAAGUAUC
Molecule: ribosomal RNA, 844 nt
Filed under: uncultured Bacteroidota bacterium
Lineage: Bacteria; Pseudomonadati; Bacteroidota
Description: bacterial SSU rRNA
Rfam family: Bacterial small subunit ribosomal RNA
Source: RNAcentral